UGCAACCCGACUACACGAAGCUGGAAUCGCUAGUAAUCGCGAAUCAGAAUGUCGCGGUGAAUACGUUCCCGGGUCUUGUACACACCGCCCGUCACACCAUGGGAGUCGGGAAUGCCCGAAGUCAGUGACCCAACCUUUGGAGGGAGCUGCCGAAGGCAGGUCUGAUAACUGGGGUGAAGUCGUAACAAGGUAAC
This 194-nucleotide ribosomal RNA is filed under the name uncultured bacterium. RNAcentral describes it as "partial 16S ribosomal RNA". It matches the Rfam family "Bacterial small subunit ribosomal RNA", at positions 1306 to 1500 of the family's 1533-position model. The record is from RNAcentral.